GUGUUGUAUGAAAGGAGAGAUGUUUAGCACUCCCCUUGACAAGGAUGGAACACAUAUACCGGUUAAGGCACAGCUGUUAUCAGCUCUUAACCACAUUUUUUC
This is a small nuclear RNA of Macrosteles quadrilineatus (aster leafhopper), 102 nucleotides long. Lineage: Eukaryota; Metazoa; Arthropoda; Insecta; Hemiptera; Cicadellidae. The record is from RefSeq and is a predicted model, not a curated record.